GCCGGCUUAGCUCAGUUGGUAGAGCACCGCUCUUGUAAAGCGGGGGUCGUGGGUUCGAGCCCCUCAGCCGGCA
This 73-nucleotide transfer RNA is filed under the name Microbacterium sp. RNAcentral's name for it is "tRNA-Thr". It matches the Rfam family "tRNA". Rfam says of the family: Transfer RNA (tRNA) molecules are approximately 80 nucleotides in length. RNAcentral also lists the same sequence under 7 other names. Lineage: Bacteria; Bacillati; Actinomycetota; Actinomycetes; Micrococcales; Microbacteriaceae. The record is from RNAcentral.